This 379-nucleotide ribosomal RNA is filed under the name uncultured organism. RNAcentral describes it as "bacterial SSU rRNA". It matches the Rfam family "Bacterial small subunit ribosomal RNA", at positions 367 to 762 of the family's 1533-position model. The record is from RNAcentral.
CGCAAUGGGCGAAAGCCUGAUGGAGCAACGCCGCGUGCAGGAUGAAGGCUUUCGGGUCGUAAACUGCUUUUAUAUGCGACGAUUAUGACGGUAGCAUAUGAAUAAGGAUCGGCUAACUCCGUGCCAGCAGCCGCGGUCAUACGGAGGAUCCAAGCGUUAUCCGGAAUUACUGGGCGUAAAGAGUUGCGUAGGUGGCACUGUAAGUUGUUAGUGAAAGCGUCCGGCUCAACCGGGUACACAUUAACAAAACUACAGAGCUAGAGGACGAGAGAGGUACCUGGAAUUCCUAGUGUAGGAGUGAAAUCCGUAGAUAUUAGGAGGAACACCGAUGGCGUAGGCAGGGUACUGGCUCGUUUCUCACUCUAAGGCACGAAAGCGU